Molecule: ribosomal RNA, 406 nt
Filed under: uncultured delta proteobacterium
Lineage: Bacteria; Deltaproteobacteria
Description: bacterial SSU rRNA
Rfam family: Bacterial small subunit ribosomal RNA
Source: RNAcentral
GAGUUUGAUCUUGGCUCAGAGCAAACGCUGGCGGCGUGCCUAAUACAUGCAAGUCGAACGGGGAAAGUAGCAAUACGAGUACUAGUGGCGCACGGGUGAGUAACACGUAGGUAAUCUGCCCUCGAGUGGGGAACAACUCGUCGAAAGAUGAGCUAAUACCGCAUAAGACCACAAGAACUGAGGUUCAAGAGGUCAAAGGAGCAAUUCGCUUGAGGAUGAGCCUGCGUCGGAUUAGCUAGUUGGUAGGUAACGGCCUACCAAGGCGAUGAUCCGUAGCUGGUCUGAGAGGAUGAUCAGCCACACUGGAACUGAGACACGGUCCAGACUCCUACGGGAGGCAGCAGUAGGGAAUAUUGCGCAAUGGGGGAAACCCUGACGCAGCGACGCCGCGUGAGUGAUGAAGGCC